UACGAAGGGGGCUAGCGUUGCUCGGAAUUACUGGGCGUAAAGCGCACGUAGGCGGCUCUUUAAGUCGGAGGUGAAAUCCUGGAGCUCAACUCCAGAACUGCCUUCGAUACUGUAGAGCUUGAGUUCGGGAGAGGUGAGUGGAACUGCGAGUGUAGAGGUGAAAUUCGUAGAUAUUAGGAAGAACACCAGUGGCGAAGGCGGUCUGCUGGGCAGUUUCUGACACUGAGGCGCGACAGCGUGGGGAGCAAACAGG
Molecule: ribosomal RNA, 253 nt
Filed under: uncultured bacterium
Lineage: Bacteria
Description: partial 16S ribosomal RNA
Rfam family: Bacterial small subunit ribosomal RNA
Source: RNAcentral